UGGGUUGUAGCUAAGUUAGUAGAGUAUUUCCCUAACAUGCAUAAAGUUCUGGGUUCAAACCCCAGCAACACAU
RNAcentral lists this transfer RNA (73 nucleotides) under Mesocricetus auratus (golden hamster). It matches the Rfam family "tRNA". Rfam says of the family: Transfer RNA (tRNA) molecules are approximately 80 nucleotides in length. Their secondary structure includes four short double-helical elements and three loops (D, anti-codon, and T loops). Lineage: Eukaryota; Metazoa; Chordata; Mammalia; Rodentia; Cricetidae. The record is from Rfam by way of RNAcentral.